GACGAACGCUGGCGGCGUGCUUAACACAUGCAAGUCGAACGGAAAGGCCUGCUUUCCCUUGUGGAUUGCGGGUACUCGAGUGGCGAACGGGUGAGUAACACGUGAGUGAUCUGCCCCCAACUUGGGUAUAAGCCUGGGAAACUGGGUCUAAUUCCCGAUAGGACUGCAGGGUGGUGCCUGUGGUGGAAAACGAUUUUCUAGUGGUUGGGGAUGAGCUCGCGGCCUAUCAGCUUGUUGGUGGGGUAAUGGCCUACCAAGGCGGCGACGGGUAGCCGGCCUGAGAGGGUGGACGGCCACAUUGGGACUGAGAUACGGCCCAGACUCCUACGGGCGGCAGCAGUGGGGAAUAUUGCACAAUGGGCGGAAGCCUGAUGCAGCGACGCCGCGUGGGGGAUGACGGCCUUCGGGUUGUAAACUCCUUUCGACCGCGAGGAAGCCACCUGGUUGGAAGGGUGGUGACGGUAGUGGUAGAAGAAGCACCGGCUAACUACGUG
This 494-nucleotide ribosomal RNA is filed under the name uncultured bacterium. RNAcentral's name for it is "partial 16S ribosomal RNA". It matches the Rfam family "Bacterial small subunit ribosomal RNA", at positions 28 to 507 of the family's 1533-position model. The record is from RNAcentral.